Molecule: long non-coding RNA, 888 nt
Organism: Brassica rapa (field mustard)
Lineage: Eukaryota; Viridiplantae; Streptophyta; Magnoliopsida; Brassicales; Brassicaceae
Source: RefSeq, a predicted model, not a curated record
UCUUCAUGGUUUCCAAGCUUGACUUGUUCUACAUGGUCAAGCUUGAGGGGGACUGUUGAACUGAAGAGAAGAUGGAGCUUGUACAAUAAUAGGGCAAGCUCUAGAAGAUGUCCAGAAGAGUUCAAUCAAGCUUCAGAAGUGUUCUGAAGUAGUUAUCUUGUGAAGUUAAGUCUAGGAAAGACUUAGACUGAUCAUGUGAAGGCUUUGGAGGAGUUUGGGAGAGAAAGGUUGAUAGUGCAAAGAUAGGGAUGACCAUGUACGGCCGGUGGUACGGAUGGUACGGCCAGGCAAGGACAUGGGUGAUCCAAACGAGUUCUAUCAGGUCUUGGGAUGGUUAAGUUAUGGAGAAGAGGUUGACACAUCACAUAUGAUCAAGACUUGGGUAUAAGACACAAGGAACCGUGUGGUACAAGGUUGCCUUGGAGUACAAGCAAUAAAGAAGUAUGGAUGAGAUCAUAAGUGAUGUGGAUACAUUAAUCAAUCCGUUGGAGUGGUUUGUAUGCAAAAGGAAUAUGCUGAGCAUCUUGUGUGGAUAAGGAGCUAGCUGUGGAUAAGGAGCUAGCUGUAAAGUAAAAGCAAAAGCAAAAGGUAAAGGCAAAAGGAGAAGCAUGAAUCUGGUCACAUAAGGAGCAAGAUACAUUGGCGCCUUCAGUCUCCUUUUGCCUCAGUUUGAAUCAACCAAUUACAAGACUAGCUGCCAAGACCAAAGAUCAGUCUCCCCUCAUCCAGGCCGUCCAGCAUUCAAGUUAUUAUCAGCCUUAGGAUAUAGGUUUAUGAUACUGAAAAGUGUAAAGUCAUAUAUAAGCCAAGCAUUGGCUAUUGUAAAGAAUUAAGUGAGUAAGGGGGUUUCCCCUCUCCUUCUCUAAUCUGAAACACUAAUCUUCAGUC